AGAGUUUGAUUCUGGCUCAGAACGAACGCUGGUGGCGUGUCUUAUACAUGCAAGUCGAGCGAGGCAGCAAUGCCUAGCGGCGAACGGGUGAGUAACGCGUAAGCAAUCUGCCCCAUAUCAGGAAAUACCCGUGCCAACGCGCGGUUAAUGUCCAGGAGCGUGGCCUUCCGCAUGGGAGGUUGACAAGAGAUUUAUCGGUAUGGGAUGAGCUUGCGUCCGAUUAGCUAGUUGGCGGGGCAACGGCCCACCAAGGCGACGAUCGGUAGCCGGCCUGAGAGGGUGAUCGGCCACAUUGGGACUGAGAUACGGCCCAGACUCCUACGGGAGGCAGCAGUAGGGAAUAUUGCACAAUGGGGGAAACCCUGAUGCAGCAACGCCAACCGUGUGGGAAGAAGCAUUUCGGUGUGUAAACCACUGUCGUGAGGGAAUAAGGCGUCUUCUCGGAGACGUUGAAUGUACCUCGAAAGGAAGCACCGGCAAACUUCGUGCCAGCCGCCGC
This 499-nucleotide ribosomal RNA is filed under the name uncultured bacterium. Its description in RNAcentral is "bacterial SSU rRNA". It matches the Rfam family "Bacterial small subunit ribosomal RNA", at positions 8 to 518 of the family's 1533-position model. The record is from RNAcentral.